AUGCACGCUGGCGGCGUGCCUAAUACAUGCAAGUCGAGCGAACAGACGAGGAGCUUGCUCCUCUGACGUUAGCGGCGGACGGGUGAGUAACACGUGGAUAACCUACCUAUAAGACUGGGAUAACUUCGGGAAACCGGAGCUAAUACCGGAUAAUAUAUUGAACCGCAUGGUUCAAUAGUGAAAGACGGUUUUGCUGUCACUUAUAGAUGGAUCCGCGCCGCAUUAGCUAGUUGGUAAGGUAACGGCUUACCAAGGCAACGAUGCGUAGCCGACCUGAGAGGGUGAUCGGCCACACUGGAACUGAGACACGGUCCAGACUCCUACGGGAGGCAGCAGUAGGGAAUCUUCCGCAAUGGGCGAAAGCCUGACGGAGCAACGCCGCGUGAGUGAUGAAGGUCUUCGGAUCGUAAAACUCUGUUACUAGGGAAGAACAAAUGUGUAAGUAACUAUGCACGUCUUGACGGUACCUAAUCAGAAAGCCACGGCUAACUACGUG
RNAcentral lists this ribosomal RNA (496 nucleotides) under uncultured bacterium. Its description in RNAcentral is "partial 16S ribosomal RNA". It matches the Rfam family "Bacterial small subunit ribosomal RNA", at positions 29 to 507 of the family's 1533-position model. The record is from RNAcentral.